This 1334-nucleotide ribosomal RNA is filed under the name uncultured Planctomycetota bacterium. RNAcentral describes it as "bacterial SSU rRNA". It matches the Rfam family "Bacterial small subunit ribosomal RNA", at positions 63 to 1342 of the family's 1533-position model. Lineage: Bacteria; Pseudomonadati; Planctomycetota. The record is from RNAcentral.
CGAACGAGGAUAUACUCUUCGGAGUAUAAGCCGGGAGUGGCGAAAGCGGUGAGUAACAUGCAUAGAUGACAUACCUUAGGAUAAGAAUAACUUGUGAAAAUGGAGUUUAAUACUUAAUAAUUCGAAGCAAAAUCAUUAUUAGUUUCGUCAAUGGGGGGGUAGCAAUACCUCUCGCCUGAAGAGUGGUUUAUGUCCUAUCAGCUUGUAAUUGGUGGCCGGUAAUGGCCUACCAAGGCAAAGACGGGUAGCGGUCUAAGAGGAUGGUCGGCGCCACACUGGGACUGAGACACUGCCCAGACUCCUACGGGAGGCUGCAGUCGAGAAUCUUUCGCAAUGCCCGAAAGGGUGACAAAGCGACGCCGCGUGAGCGAAGAAGGCCUUAGGGUUGUAAAGCUCUGUCGAGGGUUAUGAAUUAUAGAUAGGUAUACUUAUCUAUUUGACAUAUAGGCCCAAAAGGAAGCCACGGCUAACUCUGUGCGCAGCAGCCGCGGUAAUACAGAGGUGGCAAGCGUUGUUCGGAAUUAUUGGGCGUAAAGAGCACGUAGGUGGUUUAUAUGAUUUAGUCAGGUGUGAAAGCCUUCUGUUCAAAGGAAGAACCGGCAUCUGAAACUGCGAAUCUUGUUAGGAGGGGAGAGUGGAACUCUGGUGGAGCGGUGAAAUGCGUAGAUAUCAGAAGGAACGUCGGCGGCGAAAGCGACUCUCUGGCCUAUAAUACUGACCACUGAGGUGCGAAAGUUAGGGGAGCAAACGGGAUUAGAUACCCGCGGUAGUCCUAACCGUAUAACGAUGGCACUAAGUAGAGGGAAUUACCAAUGUUCUCUCUGCCCGUAGCUAACAUUAAGUGCCUUCGCGCCUGGGGAGUACGGCCGCAAGCUAAAACUCAAAAGAAUUGACGGGGGCUCGCACAAGCGGUGGAGCAUGUGGCUUAAUUCGAUGCAACGCGAAAAACCUUACCGGGGUUUGACAUGGUAGAAGUAGGAGCCCGAAAGGGGUAACCAACGGUAUCCAGUCCGUAACUUAUCACAGGUGUUGCAUGGCUGUCGUCAGCUCGUGUCGUGAGACGUUGGGUUAAGUCCCUAACGAGCGAAACCCUUGUAAAUUAGUUACCAUCGGGUUGUGCCGGGUACUAAAAAGACUGCCGUCGUCAAGACGGAGGAAGGUGGGGAUGACGUCAAGUUCAUCAUGGCCCUUAUACCCGCGGGCUGCACACGUUUACAAUGGUCGGUACAAAAGGAAGCAAGACCGAAAGAGUGGAGCGAAUCUAUUAAAGAGCCGAUCUCAGUUCGGAUUGGAGGCUGAAAUUCGCCUCCAUAAGUUGGCGAAUCGCUAGUAAU